ACCCAGCUGACGAGUCUCAUAUAGGACGAAACGCGCGUCGUGGAU
This is a non-coding RNA of Schistosoma rodhaini, 45 nucleotides long. The record is from Rfam. Lineage: Eukaryota; Metazoa; Platyhelminthes; Trematoda; Strigeidida; Schistosomatidae.